Cicer arietinum (chickpea) is the source of this 2178-nucleotide long non-coding RNA. RefSeq lists it as uncharacterized. NCBI's taxonomy places the organism in Eukaryota, Viridiplantae, Streptophyta, Magnoliopsida, Fabales, Fabaceae. The record is from RefSeq and is a predicted model, not a curated record.
UCUCUGUUUUCCCUCUUCAAGUUUUCCCUAAAAUAAAAUUCCCUCUAUUUUCUUCAAGAAUCAAACUCCUUGUUCUUUUCUCAACCAACCACAAACCCUAAACUCUCUCCUUGUCCUUCACUCUCAGGUCUACAACUUUUCUCUAUGAUCUGCGACGCUCCACUCUCGUCGAACUUAACCGUCUCUCAUUGAUUUGUGUCUUCUUCGAUCUACGUAUAUCCGUUGUGUUUCUUGUUGCAUCGAUAUUUGAUUCGCGCAAAUCUGUCACUCCCAAAAUCGAUCCCUCAAUCUUCAACCACAGCUCUGGUCACACCGUUAAAGCUAUUCCCGACCUCGCUGUCAUUGUUGUGUUGCGCCACUUCUUACCUACUUUCUCAGGCAUUUUCUAAAACUAGCAGUAAUUUAUAAUGACACUUGGAAAUCUCUCUCUGCUUUGUUCUAUUUGAGUGUGUUCGUUCAAGGAUUUGUAUUUGUAUUUCUGAUUUAAUCUCUCGUACAUUUGCAAGUAACUGAGAAGCUUGACUGCUUUUUUUUUUGCUAUUUAAUUUGUUUCUUAUUUUCGAAGUUGUGAUUGUGUUUGAGAAAUUGCUUGCUAACUUGUGCAUGUGUGUUGUUGCAUUGAAGCAAAGAUCUUGUUUUUUUUUUUACUGGAUUUUUCCUUUUUGUUGAGUGAAUCCAUUGAUUUUGUUUAUGCCCGUGUUCAUUUGGUUGGUAAUAAAAAUAAUAGAACAAUUUACAGCAUACAUAUUGGAGUAUUGAUAAAUAUUUUGAACAGUUUGAUUUUGAUAGUUUUACAAGAACAAAACAUAAUUUACUUUAUGUCCCCUUUUUUUAACUUGUUUUUACUAAUUCAACAUGUUUUUGGAGUUUAGGAAAAACUAGAUGUUAUCGGUGAGGUUUUGGGACUUUUGUUCGUUUCUCCGGUAAUUUUCUAAUAAUUCUUGUUUCAUAGCAAUUUUAGCAGUUUGAUUUUGCUAUGGAAUUUCUCUGAUUUUGUUGUAUGAUUUUGCUAUGGAUUUAGCUGAUUUAGUAGUUCUUUCAAUCUGCAAUUAUACAUUCGAAUAUUAUUUUGGUUGAGAAAACAACUCUAAUUUGCGAUCGUGCUUGUGUUUACAAUUCUCUAUGACUGUAACUGCGUUCACAUUUUUUAGAUACAAUAACCAUGAUAGGAAAAUAGUUGUAAUUCUUUAAGUUCUUAAUUAUAACAGACAAGUUAUUAAUUAAAGUUGUGGUUUAAUUUGAGUUUAAUUAAAGUUGUGGUUUAAUUUGAGUUUAAUUAAAGAGGAGUAUUAGCUACAGAAGUUCUUAAUUAAAGCUCUUAAUUUAUUUAUCAUAUGUUAGAGAAGUUUUUAUUAAAUAGUUGAUUCAGUGAAGUUUGGUUUUAGUAUCUUAUCAUCUGGUUAUUUAGAUUCUUCACUAGUCACGUCUUUCAUCUUUGUGUAAUGUUACCAUCAAAUAGCUCUACAUUGGACUAUUACCUGGCUAUUAGGAAAAUAGGCAAGUUGUGACAUUUCUCAUCUUUGUUAGUUGUUACCAUCAUACAUGGACCAUUCAUUCUCGUGUAAUGUAAUAUUUUUAAUUUCAUAUAGUUCUUGCAUUUGAAAGGAGACAGAAAGGACUAUGAUUUUGUAAAAUCAAUUCUCUCAGCAUAAGGAUUUGAUGUUGUUGAUGACAUAAAUGGAAGAGAGGGAGAGGAAGUUGAGCCCAUAAUUGAUGCUUUUCCUAAUCUGGAAUAAUUGACGCAGUUGAUCCUAACAGCAGGCACAAGAGAAAGCUUGAAAACAGAAAGCUUGUUGCAAUCAAAGGAUGUUAAUUGGACUUCUAUAAGGAAAGUGUAUAUCUAUGGACCCUUGAGCUACAAUCCUGUUGAAGAAUGUUAAGUUAUGACAGGAUUUGGCAACAGCCUUCGUGAAUGUUCAUGGAAAUGAUAAGGCCAACAAGCCUUCAUUAUUUUCAAAGAGGUAGUUGAGGCUAUGACAUAGGUUUUCUUGUAAAUUGUGUAUAUUUUGGUUCUAAUUAAUAAACUUGAAUUGGUUAGUAAUGAAAUAAGUGUCAAUCACAUAAAAAUUGCUUGUUUUUAGAGUAAUAUCAUAGUUUACUUGUUUUCAAAUUUUAUUGAGACUUUUGGAUUUAACCAUGUUGGUCAUAUAUAUGAAGAAGUAAUUUUUAACAUGUCAA